RNAcentral lists this ribosomal RNA (551 nucleotides) under uncultured Actinomycetes bacterium. Its description in RNAcentral is "bacterial SSU rRNA". It matches the Rfam family "Bacterial small subunit ribosomal RNA", at positions 257 to 822 of the family's 1533-position model. The record is from RNAcentral. Lineage: Bacteria; Bacillati; Actinomycetota; Actinomycetes.
GUAAUGGCUCACCAAGGCGUCGACGGGUAGCCGGCCUGAGAGGUGACCGGCCCACUGGGACUGAGACACGGCCCAGACUCCUACGGGAGGCAGCAGUGGGGAAUAUUGCACAAUGGGCGCAAGCCUGAUGCAGCAACGCCGCGUGAGGGACGACGGCCUUCGGGUUGUAAACCUCUUUUAGCAGGGAAGAAGCGAAAGUGACGGUACCUGCAGAAAAAGCGCCGGCUAACUACGUGCCAGCAGCCGCGGUAAUACGUAGGGUGCAAGCGUUGUCCGGAAUUAUUGGGCGUAAAGAGCUCGUAGGCGGUCUGUCGCGUCGGCUGUGAAAACUCGGGGCUCAACUCCGAGCCUGCAGUCGAUACGGGCAGACUAGAGUGCGGUAGGGGAGACUGGAAUUCCUGGUGUAGCGGUGAAAUGCGCAGAUAUCAGGAGGAACACCGGUGGCGAAGGCGGGUCUCUGGGCCGUAACUGACGCUGAGGAGCGAAAGCGUGGGGAGCGAACAGGAUUAGAUACCCUGGUAGUCCACGCCGUAAACGGUGGGUGCUAGGUG